Molecule: ribosomal RNA, 253 nt
Filed under: uncultured bacterium
Lineage: Bacteria
Description: partial 16S ribosomal RNA
Rfam family: Bacterial small subunit ribosomal RNA
Source: RNAcentral
UACAGAGGUCUCAAGCGUUGUUCGGAUUCAUUGGGCGUAAAGCGCGCGUAGGCGGCCCUGUAAGUCCGUUGUGAAAGUCAAAGGCUCAACCUUUGAAAGCCGAUGGAUACUGCAGGGCUAGAGUCCGGAAGAGGCGAGUGGAAUUCCUGGUGUAGCGGUGGAAUGCGCAGAUAUCAGGAGGAACACCAAUAGCGAAGGCAGCUCGCUGGGACGGUACUGACGCUAAGGCGCGAAAGCGUGGGGAGCGAACAGG